This is a long non-coding RNA of Equus caballus (horse), 19638 nucleotides long. The record is from Ensembl. Lineage: Eukaryota; Metazoa; Chordata; Mammalia; Perissodactyla; Equidae.
GGAAAACUUAAAUGAUUCACAAAACCUGGGGCUGUCAGGGACCUUUGCAAACAUUCUUCUCCGUUUCCUGUUUUGACAGAUGAGGCCUCAGUGGCAGUGUAAGUUCAGAUCUUCAGGUAGAUCCCGGUUCUAACUCGUUUAUUUAUUCAUUCAACAAACACUCACCACUUACUGUGUGCCAAGUACUGCCCCAAGUAUUGGUAUAAGAAGAUGAGUAUGACACAGUGCCAGCCGCCAAGGAGCUCACCAUCUACCUGGGGAGACAAAUAGGGUACCAUGCACAAGAUAAAACCGGAAUGACUCUGAUUGAAGAAUAAGUGGAGGGCCCAGAGCCUGCCAGCUUGGCUUCCUUGUUCUUCUGAGAUACUUUCAUGCACCUUGAGGGUUUCAGGGACAUAGAAUGGAAACCACUACUCUAGACAACAGACCUUCAGCCCUUGAUUGUGGAUCGCCUGAUGUCUUCUCUGCUGCCUCCUUCUGUACUUGUGGCACCUACUGGCAGUUUUGGUUUGUGGAGGACACACGUGGGACCUCUCUCUCACACUCUCCUGGGGGUGGAAAUGGCAGAUCCCCUCCUGGGCAGGGUGGCCCCAUUGAGGUUGAUUCUGGGGUGAGAGCCAACUUCUCUGCCUGCUGCGUAUAACUCCAACUCCGGGUCCAAAUUGGGCACAUUAUUUUGGGUACCAGGAGAACAUUCGUUGACGUGUGCCGUUCCACUAGGCAUCUCUGGGCACUUUUUCUCCAGAAGAGUAGCACUAAAUUAAAAUUCUAACUCAAGUUUACAGGCUGAUGAGUAGGAAGGCUGGGGGAGCAGGAAAGGGAGCCGAGCAGAGGGCAGACGGCAGAUGGUGUUGCGCGGCCACCUUGAUUGGUUUGGCCACAAGACAAUGCGGAAGGAUGAUUUACUAGGUGCUUCCUUCACCUUGCAUGGAUGAUACAGGCAGAUGAUGGAAUGUACUUUUGCUUUUUUUUUUCUGUAACAGAAUGCCUUUGGCAGGGAUACUUCCCAGUUAUUAAAAAUGGGGCAAUGAGGUGAGCUCUAAAUGCAAACCCCGUGUAGGAAAAUCCAGAAGAAAUAAGGAUAAGAAGAUGGAGAAAGGAAAGAUUAAAAGUCAGUGAAGAGAAGAAUAAAGAAAGAUUGUUGCAAUGGGAUGGGAAAGAUGGGAAGUUCAGAAAAGUGACAAAACACCAGUGAGGGAAUCAGAGAAAGCACAGGAGUGACCUUGCUCUCUGGUCCCCCUCCCCCGAAAAAGAGAGGCGGUUGGGGGAGGGGUGAUGGGGAGAUGAAAUUUUAUAGGUCAAUGGAAGAAACAGCAAGAAUGAGAAAAAGGAGUUUAGGGAUUUUAGGUCAUUGGACACCCCUGAAGCUGUGGGUAAUGUGCAUUUCAGAAAGAUUUGGGCAAAUUUCCGCAGAACUAAUUCAGAGAACAUGAUAUAGUGUGUCUUGACUCUUUGUAGAGGGACAUGCUCUGUAGGACCAGAGAAACACACACAGCUGAGUCUUUACAACCAUAUCCGGUUUCCAUGUGGUUCUCUUUCUUUUCUGGUUCCCAUAACACUUGUCUGGGUUCAAAUAUAUUUAGCUUUUGAUUCUAUUCAGCAUAGGGAAUUGCUUCUAUUAUUCACUCAGUUCGUUUUAGUUAUAUUUUCUCAUUCCUCACAAGGCUGUGAGAUUCUUAGGGACAAGGGGAGUGCUUUUUUUUUCUUUUGUAUUAUUCAAAGCCUUGUAGUGUGGUGAGCAAAUGGUAGGUGUAGAGGGACAGGGGUGCAAAUGGUGACUUCAAAGGAGAAAACCAGUUUGCCUGCCUGCCUUCUUUCCCUCCUUCCUUCUUUCCUCCUUCUUUCCAUCCUUUCUUCUUUCCUUUCUCCCUUCUUGUCUCCUUCCUUCCAAUAUUUAUCAAAAACUUACCAUGUGCCAGGUGUUCUAGGCCCUGGGGAUGACCAGUAAACAAGCAGACGGAGCUUACAUUCUAGUAGGGGAGAAAGAGAAUACAACAAAUGAGUUCACAUGUAACACGCCACACGAUGGUCAGUGCUGUGAAGGGCACUGGAGGGGCGCAGGGUGAAGCAGCAGGAGCAGAAGGACGGCCAGGGCUCUGGUGUAGACAGGGUGCAGGGAGUGUCCUUUCUUUAUGUCAGUGCCAUUGGAGCAGAGACCUGAAUGAAAUGGGAGAGAUCUUGGGGGGAGGAGCACUCCAGGAGGAGGGAACAGUAAGGCCCUGAGGAGAAAGCUGCCCAGUAUGUUUGGAGGACAGCAAGGAGGCUGGUGGGCUGGCGUGGAGUGGGAGGGGCAGGUGAGAUCAGAGAGGGAGCCAGGGCCCGGAGCAAACAGGUUCUUCUAGCCAGGGUGAGUCAUAUAUUGGAUUCGAUUCUAGGCAAGGGGGAGAGCUCCUGUGUGGAGAAUAGACUGAGGGGCAAAUGUGGAAGCUCUGAGACCACAGGGGCUGUUGCAAUGGUUGAGGCAGGAAUGGUAGCGGCUGACAUGAAGGAAGUGGUUAGAUUAUGGAUCUUUUUAGAAGAUGGAGCUGACAACAUUGGCUGAUGGGUUUGAUGUGGGGGAUGACAGAAGUAGAAGAGUUAAAGGUCACUCAACAGUUUUGGCGUUGUCAGAAGAUGUGUGUGUGACUUGAAUUUGGUGACUCUGCACAAGUCAUUGAACCAAGGAAGCCUGAAAUGCACCUGGCCUCAGUUUCCUGCCUGACUAGUCUGGAAUGAUGACUACACGAAGGAUGUUUGACAAACUAAGUCUCAGGUCCAGAUAAGGGUGACGUGAGGUGAGGGUAAGUUACUCAUUCAUUCUACAAAUAUUUACAGAGCGUCUAUUGUGGCUGAUAUUUUAGGUAGUUUUACCUCUUUUAUCCAGCUACAAUUUACUAUUGUUUGAGAGUGGAACUCAGUCUGAGUUCAAAAAAAUCCCAUCCAAUUCUACUUCAGUGUUAUUGCAAGGUGGUCAGUGCACUAUAAAUAGACUUUAUUUUUCAGAGCAGUUUUAGGUUCACAGCAAAAUUGAACAGAAAGUACAGAGAGUUCCCAUAUAUCCCCUGCCCCGAUGUACACAGUUUCCCCUACUAUCAACAUCUUGCGUCAGAGUGGGACAUUUGUUACAAUCAAUGAACCUACAUUGACACAUCAUUAUCACCCAGAGUCCACAGUUUACUUUAGGGUUUGCUCCUGGUGGUGUACAUUCUAUGAGUUUUGACAAAUGUGUAAUGACAUGGAUGACCCAUUAGAGAAUCACGUAGAAUCGUUUCACGGCCCUAAAAAUCCUCUGAAGGAUUUCAGUUCCACCUAUUCAUUUUCCUUCCCUCCUUCACUAGCUUUGCCUUUUCCGGAAUGUCAGAUAGUUGGAAUCAUACAGCAUGUAGCUUUUUAAGGCUGGCUUCUUUCACUUAGUCACAUGUAUUUACAUUUCCUCCAUGUGUCUUCAUAGCUGAUAGGUCAUUUUUUUAAGUGCUGUAUAAUAUUUCAUUGUUUGGAUGUACCACAGUUUAUCCAUUCACCCACUGGCGGACAUUUUAAUUGCUUCCUAGUUUUGACAGUUAUGAAUAAAGCUUCUUUAAGCAUCUGUGUGCAGGUUCUUUUGUGGACAUAGGUUCUCAGCUCCUUUGGGUGUGUAACAAGGAGCGUGAUUGCUGGGUGAUGUGUGUGGUAAGGAUAUGUUUAGUUUUGUAAGGAAUUGCCAGGGGUAGGGAGUGAGGAAAUUGGAUGAAGGUGGUCAAAUGGUACAAACUUCCAGUUAUAAGAUAACUAAGUGCUGGAGAUGUAAUGUACAAAUGAUGACUAAGUUAACACCGCUGUAUGGUGUAUUUGAAAGUUGCUAAGAGAGUAGAUCCUAGAAGUUCUCAUGACAAGGUAAAAAACCAUUUUUUUUGCUUAUAUCUGUAUGAGAUGAUGGAUAUUAACUAAACUUAUUGUAAUCAUUUUACAAUAUAUGUAAGUCAAGUCAUUAUGCUGUACACCUAAACUUAUACGGUGCUGUAUGUCAAUUAUAUCUCAAUAAAAGUGAAAGAAAAAAAAAGGAAAUUGCCCAACUGUCUUCCAAAGUGGCUGUUCCAUUUUACCCUUCUGCCAGCAAUGAGUGAGAGUCCCUGUUGCUUCACGUCCUCAACAGCCUUUGGUGUGGUCAGUGGUUUGGAUUUUGGUCAUUCUAAUAGGUAUAUAGUAGUAUCUCGUUGUUGUUUUUUUGUGAGGAAGAUUGUCGCUGAGCUAACAUUUGUGCCAAUCUUGCUCUUUUUAUGUGGGAUGCUGCCACAGUGUGGCUUGGCGAGAGGUGCUAGGUGUGCGCCUGGGAUCCGAACCUGUGAACCCUGGGCCACAGAAGCACAGCGUGUGAACCUAACCACUGUCCACUGGGCCGGCCCCUAUCUCGUUGUUGUUUUAAUUUGCAAUCCCCUGAUGACGUAUGAUGUGGAGCAUCUUUUCAUAUGCUUACUUGUCAUCUGUAUAUCUUCUUUGGUGAAGUGCCUCUUCAUUUUUUAAUCGAGUUGUUCAUUUUCUUAUUGUUGAGUUUUAAGAGUUCAUUGUAUAAUUUGGAUAACAGUCCUUUAUGAGAUACAGCUUUUGCAAAUAUUUUCUUCCAGUCUGUGGCUUGUCUUCUCAUUCUCUUGACAGUGUCUUUUGCAAGCAAAAGUUUUUAAUUGUAAUGAAGUCCAGCUCAUCAUUUCUUUCUUCUGUGGACUGUGCCUUUCUAAAAACUUACCACCACACCCAAGGUCAUCCAGAUAUUCUCCUAUGUUAUCUUCUGGGAGUGUGAUUGUUUUGUGUUUGGUCAGUGCAUUUUAGAACUUUAUAUGGCUUCUGAAACUUGCCACUCACUUCCCUCCUUCUCACCUCUUCUUUAGUACCCCAUCUCACUCUAGUAAGCAACACAGAUUAUAUCACAGCUCCCAACAGACUCAAAUUCUUAUGCACAACAGAUGUACAAGGAGAUUAUUUAACUGCUAAUGAAAUCUGCUGGAAGAGCCUGGGAGACCCAGACCAACAGGCUAGUCCUUAUUUUCUUGACUGUUUUGUUCAGAGAUGCAUGUCUUCUCUCAGAUGGCCUCAGCUUGUUUAUAUCACUGUGCCUGCCAUCCGUGCCGACCCUCUCCCCCAUCUUACCCUGGGCUUCUCUCACACUCUGUCUGAGUCAGGAAUAAACUGAGGUGGAACAGGCUUUGGAACUCUUUUGGUCAAGGCUUCUUUUUUUUCACAAAGUGCUGGAAGUGAUGACUGUUGAGCUGACUGAUACGUUACGUUCCGGGGAAAAACUGUGGUGAUGCUGAGAGCAACAGUUCUAUGAAAAUCUUCAACCCACCUGCACCCACUCUAAGGUUCUGGGUUAUGCCAAGUGAUCUCAGUGUCAUUUUGAUCCAGUUGCAUCUAGGACUGAUUGCCAAUUUCUUUCAAAAUCCUGUGCUGACUUCACAAACCCAAGAAAAUUUGGCUUGGCUUUCAUUCCUAGUUGCCUUUAUUUUUGGCUUUGCUUUAGCUAUGUGCUGCACUUAAACUUUUUUUUUUUUUUUUGGAUUCUAGAGGUUUAACCUUGGCUCUUAGGGUAAAUUGCCUGUUUUUGCACCCUGACCCUAAGAAACCAGAAACCCAGAAGUGCAGUCAUGGAAAAUUCUGAAGAACUGGAUAUUCAUUCUCCUGAAGCUAAGUUCAAGGCUGGCACAGAGAUCUGGUAAUGCUGCAUCCCUCAACCCAGAGGUGGCCCUGGCUAGGGGAGAUGCUGGUGCGUGCUCAGCUGAAAGGAUGGAAUUGAGGAGGAAUUAUGGUGUCAGCUAAGGUGGGGUGAAGGCAGCACUUUUGUCCUGCCAGCAAGCUGUACGUGGAAAGCACUCUUAAUUGUCAAGUGUUAUUAGAAAGGGUUAUUAAAAAUAAAGUGCACAAGGAGAGAUGGAGGAUAGAUCGUGAUAGAAGUUGCUCAACAAUGACAGAGGAGGUACUCUGAAAGAAUCAUCCGUGGAGAAGGGAGGAGCAGCAGAGGCUGGAGAGGAAUGAAUGCAUGUCAGGGGGUCUUCCAGACCAGCCUCUGGGGUCAGCCAGUGGACUGGUUCCAUUAGAAUCACCAGGGAGCUUAAGAAUUUACCUCAAAGAUUCUGAUUUAGUGGGUUUGGGUUAGGACCUAGACAUCUGUUUUCAACAACAGCUUCCCCCACCCCAUUCCCAGACGAGGCUGAUUAACAUUAAAUUUUUUUUAAUUUAGGUCACAUUGGUUUAUAACAUUAUAUAAAUUUAAGGUGUACAUCAUGAUAUUUCAACUUCUGUAUAGACUGCAUCGUCACACGCUGCUGGUGGGAAUGAAGACUGGUGCAGCCACUGUGGAAAGCAGUAUGGAGAUUCCUCGAAAAAUUAAGAAUAGAUCUACCAUACGAUCCAGCUUUUCUACUGCUGGGUAUUUAUCCAAAAAACAUGAAAACACUAAUUCGAAAAGAUUAAUGCACCCCUAUGUUCAUUGCAGCCUUAUUCACAAUAGCCAAGACUUGGAAGCAGCAUUUAAAUUUGCGAUGUCAUUGCUUUAGACAAGGGGUAGGGAAAUUAUAGCCCCUGGGCCAAAUCCAACCCGCAGCGACCCUCUUUACAGCCUUGAGCUAAGAAUGGAUUUUACUUUUUUUUUUGGUUUCCAUGAAAAGAGUCUUUUUUUUUUUUUUAUGGUGGUGACAUUGGUUUAUAACAGUAUAUAAAUUUCAGGUGUACAUCAUUAUAUUUCAGUGCCUGUGUACAUUACAUCAUGUUCACCACCCAAAGACUAAUUGCAAUCCAUCACCACACACGUGUCUGGUCACCCCUUUCACCCUCCUCCCUCCCUCCUUCCCCUCUGGUAACCACUAAUCCAUCUCUGUCUCUAUGUGAUUGUUUUUGUUUUUAUCUUCUAUUUAUGGAUAAGAUCAUAUGGUAUUUGAUUUUCUCCCUAUGACUUAUUUUGCUUAGCAUAACGCCUUCAAAGUCCAUCCAUGUUGUCACAAAUGGCCAGAUUUCAUCCUUUUUUAUGGCUGAGUAGUACUCCAUUGUGCAUAUAUACCACAUCUUUAUCCAUUUGUCCCUUGAUGGGCACCUAGGUUGCUUCCAAGUCUUGGCUAUUGAGAAUAAGGCUGCAAUGAACAUAGGGGUGCAUGUAUCUUUAUGCAUUCAUGUUUUCAAGUUCUUUGGAUAAAUACCCAGCAUUGGAAUAGCUGGGUCAUAUGGUAGUUCUAUUCUUAAUUUUUUGAGGAAUCUCCGUACUGUCUUCCAUAGUGGCAUACCAGUUUGCACUCCCACCAGCAGUGUGUGAGGGUUCCCUUCUCUCCACAUCUUCUCCAACACUUGUUGUUUCCUGUCUUGUUAAUUAUAGCCAUUCUGAUGGGCCUGAGGCCAUAGCUCAUUGUUGUUUUGAUUUGCAUUUCCCUGGUGAUUAGUGAUGUUGAAUGUCUUUUCAUGUGCCUGUUGGCCAUCUGUAUAUCUUCUUUGGAGAAAUGUCUGUUUUCAAUUGGGUUGUUAGUUUUUCUGUUGUUGAGAUGUAUGAGUUCUUUAUAUAUUUUGGAUAUUAACCCCUAAUCAGAUAUGUGGUUUGCAAAUGUCUUCUCCCAAUUGUUAGGUUGACUUUUUGUUUUGUUGAUGGUUUCCUUUGCUGUGCAGAAGCUUUUUAGUUUGAUGUGGUCCCAUUUGUUUAUUUUUUCUUUUGUUUCUCUUGCCUGGUCAGACAUGGUACUUGAAAAUAUGCUGCUAAGAAUGACGUCAAAGAGCGUACUGCCUAUGUUUUUGUUUAGAAGUUUCAUGGUUUCAGGUCUUACAUUCAAGUCUUUAAUCCAUUUUGAGUUAAUUUUUGUCUUUGGUGUAAGAUAAUGGUCUACUGUCAUUCUUUUGCAUGUGGCUUCCAGUUUUCCCAACACAGCUUGUUGAAGAGACUUUCCUUUCUCCACUGUAUGUUCUUGACUCCCUUGGUGAAAAUUAGCUGUCCAAAGACGUGUGGGUUUAUUCCUGGGCUGUUGAUUCUGUUCCAUUGACCCGUGUGUCUGUUUUCAUGCCAGUACCGUGCUAUUUUGGUUCCUAUGGCUUUGUAGUAUAUUUUGAAGUCAGAGAGUGUGAUACCUCCAGCUUUGUUCUUUUUUCUCGGGAUUUCUUUACUAUUCAGGGUCUUUUGUUGCUCCAAACAAAUUUUAGGAUUCUUUGUUCUAUUUGUGUGAAAAAUUGUCAUUGGAACUUUGAUAGGGAUUGCAUUGAAUCUGUAGAUUGAUUUAGGGAGUAUGGACAUUUUAAUUAUGUUAAUUCUUCCAAUCCAAGAAUACUGAGUAUCUUUCCAUUUCCUUGUGUCUUCUAUUUCUUUUGACAAUGUUUCAUAGUUUUCAGUGUACAGGUCACACCUCUUUGGUUAAGUUUAUUCCUAGGUAUUUUAUUCUUUUUGUUGCAAUUGUAGAUGGGAUUGUAUUCUUAAUUUCUCUUUCUGCUACUUUGUUGUUAGUGUUAUAGAAAUCCAACUGAUUUUUGUCUGUUGAUUUUGUAUCCCACAAAUUUAACAUAUUAAUUUAUUAAUUCUAAAAGUUUUUUGGUGGAUUCUUUAGGGUUUUCUAUGUAUAAAAUUAUGUCAUCUGCAAAUAAUGACAGUUUCACUUCUUCCUUUCCAAUUUGGAUCCCUUUUAUUUAUUUUUCUUGCCUGAUUUCUCUGGUUAGGAUUUCCAAAACUAUGUUAAAUAAGAGUGUUGAAAGUGGGCAUCCUUCUCUGGCUCCUGUUCUUGGAGGAAUAGCUUUCAGUUUUUCUCCGUUGAUAAUGAUAGCUGCGGGUUUGUCAUAGAUGGCCUUGAUUAUGUUGAGGUACUUUCCUUCUAUACCCAUUUUAUUUAGGGUUUUUAUCAUAAAUGGAUGUUGUAUCUUGUCAAAUGAUUUCUCUGCGUAAAUCGACACGAUCAUGUGAUUUUUAUUCUUCAUUUUGUUAAUGUGUUGUAUUAUGUUUAUUGAUUUACAGAUGUUGAACCAUCCCUGCAUUCCUGGAAUAAAUUCCACUUGAUCAUGGUGUGUGAUCUUUUCAAUGUAUUGUUGUAUUUAAUUUGCCAGUAUUUUGUUGAGGAUUUUUGCAUCCAUGUUCAUUGAUGAUAUUGGUCUGUAAUUUUCUCUUUUUGUGUUGUCCUUGUCUAGUUUUGGUAUCAGGAUAAUGUUGGCUUUGUAGAAUGAGUUAGGAAGCUUCCCCUCUUCAAUUUUUUGGAAGAGUUUGAGAAGGAUAGGUAUUAAGUCUUCUUUGAAUGUUUGGUAGAAGUCACCAGGGAAGCCAUCUGGUCCUGGAAUUUACUUUUUGGGAGGUUUUUGAUUACUGUUUUGAUCUCCUUACUGGUGAUAGGUUUAUUCAAAUUCUCUAUUUCUUCUUGAUUCAGUUUUGGAAGAUUGUAUAAUUCCAAGAAUUUAUCCAUUUCUUCUAGUUUACCCAUUUGUUGGAGUUUAGCUUUUUGUAGCAUUCUCUUAUAAUCUUUUGUAUUUCUGAGGUGUCUGUUGUAAACUCUCCCUUUCAUUUCUCAUUUUAUUUAUUUAAGACUUCUCUCUUUUUUUCUUGGUGAGUCUAGCUAAAGGCUUGCCAGUUUGUUUAUCCUUUCAAAAAACCAUCACUUAGUAUCAUUGAUUUUUUCUAUAGAUUUUUAGUCUCUAUUUCAUUCAUUUCUCUUUUUUUUUGAGGAAGACUAGCCCUGAGCUAACAUCUGUCACCAAUCCUCCUCUUUUUGCUGAGGAAGAUUGUCUCUGAGUUAACAUCAGUGCCCAUCUUCCUCUACUUUAUAUGUGGGAUGCCUGCCACAGCAUGGCUUGACAAGCAGUGCAUAGGUCUGUACCCGGGAUCUAAACUGGUGAACCCCAGGCUGCUGAAGCAGAACAUGUGAACUUAACCACUGUCCACUGGGCUGGCCCCUCUAUUUCAUUUAUUUCUGCUCUGACUUUUAUUUCCUUCUUUCUACUGAUUUUGGGCUUUGUUUCUUCUUCUUUUUCCAGUUCCUUAGGUGUACUAUUAGAUUGUUUAUUGGGGAUUUUUCUUGUUUGUUGAGGUAGGCCUGUAUUGCUAUACAGUUCCCUCUUAGAACAGCUUUUGCUGUAUCCCAUAAAUUUUGGCAUGUCGUAGAUUCAUUUUUAUUUGCCUCUAGGUAUUUUUUGAUUUUUCCUUUGAUUUGUUUGUUGACCCAAUUGUUGUUCAGUAGCAUUUUGUUUAAUCUCCACAUUUUUGUGUUUUUUCUGAUUUUCUUUUUGUAGUUGAUUUCUAGUUUCAUACCACUGUUGUCAGAAAAGCUGCUUGGUAUUACUUCAAUCUUCUUAAAUUUAUUGAGACUUGUUUUGUGGCCUAAUAGGUGAUCAAUCCUGAAGAAUGUUCCUUGUGCAUUUGAAAAGAUAGUGUAUUCUGUGGAUUUUGGAUAGAAUGUUCUGUAUAUAUCUACUAACUCCACCUGGUUAAUGUGUCAUUUAAGGUCAAUGUUUCCUUAUUGAUCUUCUGUUUGGAUGGUCUAUCCAUUGGAGUAAGCAGAGUGUUAAAGUCCCCUACUAUUAUUGUGUUACUAUUUCUCCUUUUAUGUCUGUUAAUAAUUGCUUUAUAUAUUUAGGUGCUCCUAGGUUGGGUGCAUAGAUAUUUACAAGUGUUACAUCCUCUUGUUGGAUUGUUCCCUUUAUCAAUAUGCAGUGCCCUUCUUUGUCUCUUGUUGCAAUUUUUGUUUUAAAGUCUAUUUUGUGUGAUAUAAGUAUUGCUACCCCAGCUUUCUUUUCAUUACUGUUUGCAUGUAGUAUCUUUUUCCAUCCCUUCACUUUCAGUUUGUGAGUGUCUUUAGGUCUGAAGUGUGUACCUUGAAUGCAGCACAUAUAUGGGUCUUGUUUUUUCCUCCAAUCAGCCACCUGAUGUCUUUUUACUGGAAGAUUUAGUCCAUUGACUUUUAAAGUGACUAUUGAUAAGUCUGUACUUAUUGCCGUUUUGUUACUUUUUUUUCUAGGUGUUUUAAUAGAUCUUCUCUGUUCCUUUCUUCUUCUCUUGCUCUCUUCCCUUGCUGUUUGAUGGCAUUCUUUAGUAGUAUGCUUGGGUUCCUUUCUCUUAAUUUUUUAUGUAUUUAUUAUAGGUUUCUGGUUUGUGAUUAUCAUAAGGUUCAUAUAUAAUAACCUACUUAUAUAGCCAUCCGUAUUAAGUUGAUGGUCUCUUUAGUUUGACCUCUCACUGAAAGGUCUGCUCUUUUACUCACCUUCUACCCCAUUGUAUGCUUUUGAUAUCAUAUCUAACCUCUUUUUGUGUGUGUGUGUUUAUGUGUAUCCAUUACCCUCUUAUCAUGGAAAUAGGUAACUUUAGUACUUUUGUCUUUUAACUUUCAUAUUAGCUUCAUAGGUGCUUGAUCUGCUAUGUUUAUUAUAUAUUUGCCUUUACCAGUGAUUUUAUUCCUUUUUUAAAAAUGAUUUGCUCAUUCCUAUUUGUGGUCUUCUCUUUUCCACUUAAAUAAGUCCCUAUAGCAUUUCUUGUAAGACUGGUUUCUUGGUGAUAAACUCCUUUAGUUUUUGCUUGUCUGGGAAACUUUAUUUCUCCUUUCAUUCUGAAUGACAGCCUUGCUGUAUAGACUAUUCUUGGCUGUAGCUUUUUUCCUUUCAGCACUUUAAAUAUAUCGUGCCACUCUGUGCUAGCCUGUAAAGUUUCUGCUGAGAAGUCAGCUGAUAGCCUUAUGGAGUUUCCAUUCUAUGUAACUUGUUGCCCUCCUCUUGUGGCUUUUAGGAUUCUCUCUUUGUUUUUAAUUUUGGCAUUUAAAAUACAAUGUGUCUUCGUGUGGGCCUCUUUGAGUUUAAAUUGUUUGGUGCUCUCUGUGAUUCCUGUACUUGGAUAUCUGUUUCUUCCUUAGGUUAGGAAAGUUUUCAGGUAUUAUUUCUUGAAAUAGAUUCUCUGCCCCUUUGUCUCUCUCUUCUCCUUCUGGGACACCUAUAAUAUGGUUGUUAGUGUGCUUGAUGUUGCCCCAGAGGUCCCUUAGACUGUCCUUGUUCUUUUUAAUUCAUUUUUUUUCUAUUCAUCUUGGGUGAUUUCCUCUAGUCUUUUGUUCAGUUUGCUGAUCUCUUCUUCUGUAUCAUCUCCUCUGCUGUUGAGUCCCUCUAGUGAGUUUUUCAUUUCUCUUAUUGUAUUCUUCAUUUCUGAUUGAUUCUUUUUUUAUAUUUUCCAUUCUUUGUUGAAGUUCUCACUGUGUUCAUCCAUCCUUCUUCUGAGAACAGUGAGCAUCCUUAUGAGUCUUUGUUUGAACUCUUUGUCAGGUAGAUUGUUUAUUUCUGUUUGUUUAGUUCGUUUUCUGGGGUUUUGUCUUUUUCCCUUACUCGUAAUGUAUUCCUUUGUCUUCUCAUUUUGCCUCUUUCUCUGUGCUUAUAUCUGUGUAUUAAGUAGGUCAGCUACAUUUCCCAAUCUUGGAGAGGUGGCCUUAUGUAGAAGGUGUCUUAUGAGGCUUAGCAGUGUGCUUCCCACUCAUCAUCAGUUCCAAAUGUUCCAGGAGUGUCUUCCUGGGCUAUGUGUGUCCUUCUGUUGUGGCAGAAUUGCUGCAGGUGCGCAGGGAGCCUAGGCUGUCCCCCUGCCUGGCUUUUUGUAAUGAUCACUGCAUGUGGCUGCUAUGGACACUUUAGUCACUUUAUUGGGCAUGGGGAACCCCAGAACAGUUGGCUACAAGGUCUAAUAGCACAUUCCUGUUGCAGUUUUUCUGUUAAGUGAGUAGGCCCCCAGUGCUAGGCUCAGGGGCUUGCAAUUGCUGUAGGCCUAUGGCCUACAAGGCUGUUGUCAGCUCUCUCAGGGUUUUAGCUGAGUGGGGCUGGCCCCAGGCAUGGGAGCACCCAAUUGUUUCAGGCUUUGGAAGGUGGGCUGAUUCCCUAUGUGCCUGUCUGAGAAGCACAAGUCUGCUGUAGCUGACAAGACCCACCACCCACAGGACCACACACCCCUUCAACACAGUCCUGCCCCUUGCACCCACCCCGACUCACUGAAGUGGACCUAGUUGCCCCACUGCAAAGGCUGCACACACUCCACCACCACAGGACUGCCCCCUACGUGUGCCCUGCCCAGCAGAGGCAGACCUACUCACCUGGUUGCAGAGGUUUCAGGCACUCCUCCUAUGCAGGCCCGCAAGUUGCCCAAGGGCUUGCUGUUGGGUGGGGCCAGUCCCUAGGGCAGGCUGCCUUGACUGAGAUGGAUUAAAUCAGUACUCUAGUGGGUGGGGCAGACCUUCAGGGUAACAGGUCAGAGGAAGAACUACAAUGGCAUCUGCCAGCAUCUGUGUCAGCUGGCCUGUAGUAGAUCACCAUAAUGGCUGAUGCCAAUGUCUCAGUGCCUGAAGACAUCUCACCUCUCACCAAGAUGCACCCAGAGCCUUUCAGGUGAGUCUCUUUUCACCAAAGGACUGUGCACCUUUCUCUUUGGUGAUUUUAGGUUGUUGAUUUCUCUAACAGAUGAAUUUGUGUGUGGGCCCUUUAAGAACAGGCUUUUUUCCCGCCUUAUGUCUGAUAGCUUUUCUGGGGGUAUUCCCCCUUGUAGUUAAUAGUCAGCAAAGCCAGGUAUUAUGACAGUUUUCUUGGUUGUGCUGAAUCCAAAAGCUGCUUAUUGUGGUAAUGCUCCCCUGCUCAGAUCCCCCACCCCUCCAGGGAAGGCUUCAUAUCUUAGGAUUGCUCUCAGUCUGCUGUGAAGCUCUGUGGCUCAAAGGUGGCUUUUUCCUCUACAGAAAGGAAUUUCUGCCUGUUUCACCUCAGUCAGCACUGUCCCUUGUUGUGGGGGUUCUUUUUAUCCAGUUUUCAGUUCUCUCUUAGAGGCAAUUGUUCCAAGAGUAGUUGUAAACUAUUGUGUCCAUGGGAGGAGGUGAGUUCAGAGUCUGCCUAUGCUGCCAUCUUGAUAUGGUCUUGAGGUUUUUACAUUUUUUAAAGCAUUGUAAAAAAACCUAAAUCCGCCCCCAUCUAAAAGCAAAAAACAAUCUGUGACAAAGAUGUAAGUGCCCUGCAGAGCCUGAAAUAUUUACUACCUGGCCCUUUACAGAAGAAGUUUGCCUAUCUCUGGCCUAGUUAGACGUAAAUAAAUAUGAUGUUACAACUGUUGAAGAGAUAAUGAGGUCUGUAAAAUUUCUACACUUGGCCACUCCUUACAGGCAAGGGAAUAUUUGCUUUGGGUGUUGUUCUUUUUCGAGUGGGAUGCACUAUCACUUUUUAAACUUCUUUGUGUCAGGUGCUGUUGGAUGGGUUACAUUUGCACCAAUGCAUUAAGGUUCUGAAUAGGGUAGGGAGCAAAUGGGCUGCCCAUUGAGGGGGUACUUAAAAUUAUUUCAAUUCCUCCUUUGUUUAGCUGAGGAAGAGAGAGCAGAUCAGACCUUGGACGUUCAGAGGAAAAAUUAAGUUAUUCUCUACUUAAGGCACUUAAAUAGGCAUGCAUCAUAAUGAGGUAAGGGUGUAACAACAGUUUUUGAAAAACAGCUUUGCAAAUGCUGUCUUACCUCUUGGUAUACAAACCUGGCCAAUAGGGAGAGGGGGAGAGAAGGAGAGAGGAGAGGGAUGCAAAGAAAGUGGAUCAGUUUGAGAGAAAGGAUCGGGUCCCAGGGCUUUCUUGAAAAGGGAGGGCCCAACCCCCAACUAGACCAGUCACCUAAACUCAAGACAAUGGCUGAGGCUUGUGGGCCUGGGCUGGUUUUUCUGUGCUACACGCCCCCUCACCCAGCACUCCUGCCCAGGGAUUGCAAAUUGGGGAGCAAUGGCUGAGGAUGGAGUGUGAAUAAAGAUCUGUAACAUUGGUGCCCAUGCAGGGUUCUCCAGAUAAUGCUGAUUGGGAAACCCAUUUUGACUCCAGGGACAGGCACUGACUGUGGAUCUGUGUAGGGUGAACCAUUUAGUUGAUGACAUGCUAACUUUGGAUCGAGUGAAUUGUGGAAUUCCUGGGAAACUCAUGGACAGAAUAACCUUAAGAGAGAGACCCUAGGCUUUCUGCUGAUAUGUCAUUGGGCUUGAAUAAUUUCCUAAAGAACCUAACUCAAUAUAUUUGCUUUUUGCCCUGAGUUUGUAUAGAUUGGUUGCACACAUUAAUUCACUUACUCCUGUACAAAUGUGGAAAUGGAGGCUUAGAGAAGUGAAGUAACUGGCCCGAGUCACAUACUGAGUAGGGGUAUCACAACCCAAACCCAGUCCUGUGUGAUUCCAAAGCUACUCUCUUUCCAUGUAACCCUACAGCCUCUGGCAGAGUCAUGGAUUAUUAGGGAGGUCCAACAGAUUAUGAACCAUUUUCAAAUGAGAAAACUGGGACUCAAAGAAGUGAAGUAACUUGUUCAAGUUUGCUCACCUAUUUACUAGAAUUUCUAUAGACCUGCUUCUGGAAUAGGGAGAUCUGAGUUGCCAUGAACUUCUAAGAACUUAUCAAAGAAAUUGAGAAUGUCAAACAGAGUGUGUUGAAACCCAUAAGAACAAAAGAGCAUUGAGGGAAAAGGAAGCUUUGCAGAAUGAGCAUAUUUCACUUUUCUUAAUGACCUGCCAGUUGAUGCCUUCUUUGAAAGAGCUUUCAGACGACAGGAAGGUAUGAGCUACUUUAGGCAGUUUGGCUCCAGAGAGUUAUCUAUUUAUUUAUUUAUUAGUGCUUUAAACUUUAACUUGGCUAGCCUAAAGCAAUCAUCCCAAAGUUUGGAGUUCAUGACGUAGGCCAGGUACAGGAAAAGGUCUCUCUACCCAACUGAGUGCCUGAGUCUAGGUUGAUGCUCAGCUAUUGGGGGCACCUGGGACCUGGCUACCCUGCUAUCUUAAAUGGCUCAGCUACUAAUGGCAGUGGAAAAGAUGCCCAAGAAGGAGCUUGAAAUUAUCCAAAUCUUCAAGUUCCUGUCCCAGCGCUCCAUCUCAGAAUCUGCCACUGCCCAGGAGAAGAGUCCAAAGCUCAAGGUCUUCUCUGCGAAUACACUGAGUUUUCAGAGCACUGUGGGGAGAGCCCAGGCAUUCUCACCUGAAUAGCUCCCUGACGCAUGUCACAGAGAAUCCCUAUUAUACUUCAGUUUCUGAAGAUGGUACGAUCCAGUGUCUGAUCAGCAGAUGGGACGUGCCUAGAGAAGUUGUGAAAUGUUCUUUCAGAUGGUUAAGUGCAGAAUCUAAUCACUUCUCUGGGGUAAUUUGAGGAGGCCCUAGGGAUUGGGAAAGGACGGGCUGACUUCUUUAAUCUCUUGUCUUUGAGAUUUCACAGUUUUGCCUUUAAGAGCUAAGUGAGAUGAAGAGUCAUGUAAAUGUGUCAGGAAUUGAAUUACUAGGGGCAGCCAGCCCAGAUGGCGCAGUCAGGCUGGGAUCUGAUCCGCAUAUGAUUCACACAGUUGAUUCUGUUUCCAGCUUAGUCAGUAUAAACCUGAGUAAGAUGUACAGAGUGGACACUCUACCUUUUCUUCUAGCUUGGUGCAUAUCUGUAGUUAGAAAAGAGGAACAGCACAAGCCUAGCCUAUUCAUUCACGAAGUGAUGGUUAUUUCUCUGCAGGUCCCUUGGUAAAAUACUCAAGGAAGGUUAGAGCUUUGAAGAGGCCUUAAAGAAUGUCUGGUUCCAUGCCCUUUUUCUCAGGGGAAAAGAAGCUCAGAGGGGAGAUGUGAGUGAUUAACUUGGGGCCCACACAGAAUGGUAAGGGCAAGUUUGAAUGGGACCCUUGGUCUUCAGAUUCUCGGCCAUUAGAUUUAUAACCUGCUGUACUGUCUCCUACUGCCUCUCUACAACAGGGAUAUCACAUUAAAACCCACAGUUUAUAGCAAAAGGAGGGAGGAGCCUCAUUCAUUCAAAAAAUUGUAUUGAGCUGCCAUUGCGUGUAACAAAAAACAAGGCUGAUAAAGUCCCACCUUCAUGGUGCUUAUAGAACCAGAUAUUUUAGAGAACAUAUGUGGACUGACUUCUCUUGCUCUUUCGUUUUCUUCAGUUGGUGAGAAACAGAUACACAGAAAAGGAGUUUUGAGGGAGGUGAAAGAGAGGGAGGGAAGUGGAGGAGAGAGAAUGAGGUGUAUAAGAAGGAGAGAGGGAGAGAAUAUCUCCCAAAGGAUGCUCUCAGAGAGGGAAAUAUUUGGCUGCUGCUGCUGCUGCUUCUUUUUAAAAAUUAAUUGUGGUUAGCUGAACUGUAUGAAACUCCUUUAACUCUCUCAAAUGCAGACUUUUCUACUUUCCGGUACACUUGAGUUGCUAUGGUGAGAGAGUGGCCUGGGACAAGUCAAAUGCAAAACAUUGGAAACAACACACCAAUGCAGUGCAACAUAUUGAAGAGUUAAUUAGAAGGACCUGCUGUGUGUUUCCCAUUCCUUGCAACAGAUUCGAUUGCUUUAUGAUUUGUCACCUGUUUUUCUAAGAAAAGCGUUAGCCCUCCUUCUCAGCUCCCCUUUUUUGAAUGUGUUAAGGAUGGCUGGGAACACAGAAGGUAGGGAAAGUAAACAAAUGUGUAAGCUCCCUGCUGUUCCUUCAGAAAACUUUCAUAGACACACCCUAUGGCCCUACUGUAUCUGUCCUCUCCUGUCAUUCUCCUUGUUUCCACCACUAAUCUAUUGCUGUUCACGUUAGGGAUUAUUAGAACUAAUUUGUGAAAGGUUGCUCUGGAGUUCACAACAGAACAAUCCACUCUGUUUACAUGGCACUUCAGAGUUCACAAAGCACCUUCACAUUUCAUUUCAUCCCAUCCUCCCCACAACCUUGAGCAGUAGAAAUAGCCAGGGUUACCCUAUUUCGUAGUACAGGAAUGGGAAUGGAGGCCAAGGGAGAGGUUAAUUCUUUGCCCAUGGCCACUAUAGUUCAAGCUCGUCUUCUGGCUUCAAGUCCGUGGCUCAGUAGUUCUCUUCACAGUUCUGCUGUGUUGUCAGUGAUUUGUGAACUUAGAAGGUACAGGGCAAUGAACAUCUGACUAUGAAUCAGAAAAGAGAAGAAAGCCAGUUCUCACUCAUCUCAGUCUUCUCAACUGUAAAGUAAGAAGGUUGGAAAGAGAGUUUACCUCUCAGGUCUUAACCGUUCUAACAUUCCCAGCUGAGUGGUCUCACCAUGAGAAAACAUUGACUGAGUCUGGGUCCCUGAGAGGCAAUUGAAGAUACUCCUAUAACAUUAAAUAUUUUAUUUUAUAUAGUAAUGGGUUUAUUCAAAGAGUUAUCAUUUAUUCCUGGGCGUACAUGAUGAUUCUUAACAUUAGUGUUGCUGCUGACAGUUAUCCAGAAGUGUCCUCUUAAAGUGGGGAGAACUCCACUUUAAUGGAGUCGCUCGAGAUUCAGGUGCUUGGUUAACUUUUCAGAUCUAAAAUUUGAUUUCAGUGGUUUACCCAGAGGAGUUCAAACAGGAUGAUGAGGAUCAGUCGGAAUUUAACCAGACCAACAGUAACAAUAGCCGACAAUAACCAACAAUAAAAAUUGCUAGCAUUUAUUGGGCACAAAUAGAGAGCAUUUUUUUCUGGAUUAUUCUAUUUUAAUCUCCCCAACAACCCAUGAGGUAGGUACUAUUGUUAUUCUCUUAGUGAGGAACUGAGACCAAGAGAUGCUAAAUGUUUUGCUCAUUGUCUUCUAGGCCGUAAAGGCUGGACCCAGGUUUCCAACCCAGGCACCUGUGUGUAAAAAGCUGGCUCUUUACUGACGGAAUUCACUAAUUUACUGUUGGUGAGGUUCUGGUUGGAGAGCUGAGUGAAGGCAUUCAUCUUCAUAAGACCCUCCCCUGAGGACACCAAGGGACAGUUAAGAUUUUUCUUGGCGAUCUUGGAAUUAGACCAAAGAUUCCCGGCUGUCUUUGAGGGUUGCAUCAACCCUACAGGACCAAUGAUCUAGACACAGCCCGGGCAGCGGUGGAGACACCCUGAGAGUCUCAUUGCUUGGCUUCAGCUUCCUGACUCCUGCAGACCCGGCCCUCUGUUACCUCAGAGUCAUGGCAGUCCAGCUGAGUAGGUUACCAUAAACCACGUUCCAAUGUGUUUUCCUGCGGAGACAUCCGGGGGCGCUCUGACGGGACUUGAGGGAGACGCUGGUGACCUUAAUUGAAUUUGUAAGGCAUCCUGUUCGCCUUCAUGGAAAAUGGGGAGAAGCCCUACUCCCAUCAACAGCACAUUUACGACCAUCCCCUGAGUGGUUUAUUUCUGCAGAUGGAGAAGCUCAGUCAUUUUAUUUUCUGAUUAUUUUCAAUUUACUGACCAAGUUCUGGGACCGGACCCAGUUUGAGGUUUGUAACCUCUCGUGUGUUAUUAUAGAGAGAGAUGGGGCACAAUUAAUGAAUUCUCACUUUUGCCUCUGAUUCAGACUCGGGUUUUUAAGUGGCACAGUUAGGAGUUGUAUAUUUAAGCGUGUCGGUGCAUGUAGAUCUGUGCAUCGGCGCCCAUAACACAUUUAUUCAGGAAUAUGCAUCUUUCAUCUAAUAUACUUUAUCGCUGGAGGGCCUCGCAGUCUGACCCCCUCUUUUCAUACAGCUUGUGUGCUACACUGUGACAGACUCAUCUCUACCCUUUCCCUUUUUCUGCUUUUGACACAGUUCUCUCACAUCAAGUAUUUUUGUAACAGGAAUUAGAUACAACGUGAUUUAUCUAUCUAGUAAUUAAUUUAAUUUAACUCCACUUAUACAGCACACACUGCUGUGCUGGACACUCCUCCAAGCACGUUACAAAUAUUGACUGAUGCAAUCUGAUUUAUAGCUCUUUGAGGUGGGUCCUAUCAGUAUCCUCCUUUUACAGACCAGGAAACUGAGGCAAGUUUCCUUAUCUGCCGGGGGGACUGGGUUUGUAUGGG